UGGGGAAUUUGGACAAUGGGCGCAAGCCUGAUCCAGCAAUGCCGCGUGCAGGAUGAAGGCCUUCGGGUUGUAAACUGCUUUUGUACGGAACGAAACGGUCUUUUCUAAUACAGAAGGCUAAUGACGGUACCGUAAGAAUAAGCACCGGCUAACUACGUGCCAGCAGCCGCGGUAAUACGUAGGGUGCGAGCGUUAAUCGGAAUUACUGGGCGUAAAGCGUGCGCAGGCGGUUUUGUAAGACAGAGGUGAAAUCCCCGGGCUCAACCUGGGAAUUGCCUUUGUGACUGCAUAGCUGGAGUGCGGCAGAGGGGGAUGGAAUUCCGCGUGUAGCAGUGAAAUGCGUAGAUAUGCGGAGGAACACCGAUGGCGAAGGCAAUCCCCUGGGCCUGCACUGACGCUCAUGCACGAAAGCGUGGGGAGCAAACA
This 426-nucleotide ribosomal RNA is filed under the name uncultured bacterium. RNAcentral's name for it is "bacterial SSU rRNA". It matches the Rfam family "Bacterial small subunit ribosomal RNA", at positions 356 to 774 of the family's 1533-position model. The record is from RNAcentral.